UUUCCGUAGGUGAACCUGCGGAAGGAUCAUUAACGAGUUAGGGUCUUCCAAGGCCCGACCUCCCAACCCUAUGUUUAUUGUACCAUGUGUUGCUUCGGCGGGACCGUCUUCACGACCGCCGGAGGGCCGUAAAACGUCCUCUGGCCCGCGCCCGCCGAUGGCCCCCCAUCUAAAAACUCUUGAAUAAUCAUGCCUAUAUUGUCUGAGUAAUACACAAAAAUUAAAAGCAAAACUUUCAACAACGGAUCUCUUGGUUCUGGCAUCGAUGAAGAACGCAGC
Molecule: unclassified non-coding RNA, 279 nt
Filed under: uncultured fungus
Lineage: Eukaryota; Fungi
Description: sequence contains ITS1, 5.8S rRNA gene
Rfam family: 5.8S ribosomal RNA (bases 231-279)
Source: RNAcentral